This 434-nucleotide ribosomal RNA is filed under the name uncultured Cellulosilyticum sp. Its description in RNAcentral is "bacterial SSU rRNA". It matches the Rfam family "Bacterial small subunit ribosomal RNA", at positions 341 to 792 of the family's 1533-position model. The record is from RNAcentral. Lineage: Bacteria; Bacillati; Bacillota; Clostridia; Lachnospirales; Cellulosilyticaceae.
ACGGGAGGCAGCAGUGGGGAAUAUUGCACAAUGGGGGAAACCCUGAUGCAGCGACGCCGCGUGAGCGAUGAAGUAUUUCGGUAUGUAAAGCUCUAUCAGCAGGGAAGAUAAUGACGGUACCUGACUAAGAAGCUCCGGCUAACUACGUGCCAGCAGCCGCGGUAAUACGUAGGGAGCAAGCGUUAUCCGGAUUUACUGGGUGUAAAGGGUGCGUAGGCGGCCUGGCAAGUUAGAAGUGAAAUUUUGGGGCUCAACCCCAGAGCCGCUUCUAAAACUACCGGGCUAGAGUGCAGGAGAGGAAAGCGGAACUCCACGUGUAGCGGUGAAAUGCGUAGAGAUGUGGAGGAACACCAGUAGCGAAGGCGGCUUUCUGGACUGUAACUGACGCUGAGGCACGAAAGCGUGGGGAGCAAACAGGAUUAGAUACCCUGGUA